UAGGUUGAGCCUACGUCGGAUUAGCUAGUUGGUGGGGUAAAGGCCUACCAAAGCGACGAUCCGUAGCUGGUCUGAGAGGAUGACCAGCCACACUGGGACUGAGACACGGCCCAGACUCCUACGGGAGGCAGCAGUGGGGAAUCUUGGACAAUGGGGGAAACCCUGAUCCAGCGAUAUCCGCGUGUGUGAAGAAGGCCUUCGGGUUGUAAAGCA
This 213-nucleotide ribosomal RNA is filed under the name Candidatus Rickettsiella viridis. Its description in RNAcentral is "partial 16S ribosomal RNA". It matches the Rfam family "Bacterial small subunit ribosomal RNA", at positions 221 to 432 of the family's 1533-position model. The record is from RNAcentral. Lineage: Bacteria; Pseudomonadati; Pseudomonadota; Gammaproteobacteria; Legionellales; Coxiellaceae.